AUUGAACGCUGGCGGCAGGCCUAACACAUGCAAGUCGAGCGAGUGGCGGGCGGGUGAGUAAUGUCUGGGAAACUGCCCGAUGGAGGGGGAUAACUACUGGAAACGGUAGCUAAUACCGCAUACCCUCGGAUGUGCCCAGAUGGGAUUAGAUUGUAGGUGGGGUAACGGCACCCGUAGGCGACGAUCCCUAGCGGGUCUGAGAGGAUGAACAGCCACACUGGAACUGAGACACGGUCCAGACUCCUACGGGAGUCAGCAGUGGGGAAUAUUGCACAAUGGGCGCAAGCCUGAUGCAGCCAUGCCGCGUGUAUGAAGAAGGCCUUCGGGUUGUAAAGUACUUUCAGCCGGGAGGCGUUACCCGCAGAAGAAGCACCGGCUAACUCCGUGCCAGCAGCCGCGGUAAUUC
This 406-nucleotide ribosomal RNA is filed under the name uncultured bacterium. Its description in RNAcentral is "partial 16S ribosomal RNA". It matches the Rfam family "Bacterial small subunit ribosomal RNA", at positions 30 to 526 of the family's 1533-position model. The record is from RNAcentral.